GUGCUCACUUUGGCAGCACAUAUAGUAAAAUUGGAACAGUACAGGGAGGAUUAGCAUGGCCCCUGCGCAAGGAUGACAUGUAAAUUCAUGAAGCGUUCCCUUUAAAA
RNAcentral lists this small nuclear RNA (107 nucleotides) under Jaculus jaculus (lesser Egyptian jerboa). Lineage: Eukaryota; Metazoa; Chordata; Mammalia; Rodentia; Dipodidae. The record is from RNAcentral.